ACUAUCAUCCGCCAGCAGCUUCCAGUUGUUGGCGGGCGGAUCGACGGAAACGAAAGUUUUUCGGUUCCGGGGGAAGUAUGGUUGCAAAGCUGAAACUUAAAGGAAUUGACGGAAGGGCACCACCAGGAGUGGAGCUUGCGGCUUAAUUUGACUCAACACGGGAAACCUCACCCGGCCAGUACAUCAUAAGGAUUGACAGAUUGAAAGCUCUUUCAUGAUUUGAUGAAUGGUGGUGCAUGGCCGUUCUUAGUUCGUGGCGUGAGUCGUCUGCUUAAUUGCGAUAACGAGCGAGACUCCGAUUGUUAAAUAGCUGGCAGUUCAUUUCGACUGUACAGCUUCUUAACGAGAUUCGUGGCUUCAAGUCACAAGAAAUGGAGCAAUAACAGGUCUGUGAUGCCCUUAGAUGUUCGGGGCCGCACGCGUGCUACAAUGAUGGUAACAGCGUGAUUGUCCUCGCCCGACAGGGCUUGGCAAACAGUUGAGAUAUUAUUAUGGCUGGAAUUGAGGGUUGAAAUUUUCUCUCAUGAACGAGGAAUUCCAAGUAAAUGCGAGUCAUCAACUUGCAUUGAU
Molecule: ribosomal RNA, 570 nt
Filed under: Aphelenchoides bicaudatus
Lineage: Eukaryota; Metazoa; Nematoda; Chromadorea; Rhabditida; Aphelenchoididae
Description: SSU rRNA
Rfam family: Eukaryotic small subunit ribosomal RNA
Source: RNAcentral